Molecule: long non-coding RNA, 236 nt
Filed under: Solanum tuberosum (potato)
Lineage: Eukaryota; Viridiplantae; Streptophyta; Magnoliopsida; Solanales; Solanaceae
Description: long non-coding RNA (STUB_LNC010113)
Source: RNAcentral
UUAAAACAUAUAUCUUAAAAAUAAAAGGUUUAACUUAAUUACAAAGUAUAAUUUGAUCAACAUAUUUGAUUAAUAAAAUAAAAAUAGAUAUUAAAAGUUAACCAACGCAAAGAAAAUAACCUAUCUUUUGGGGAAUCUAAUUAAGUUAAUUAAAAAUUAUAAAGUUAGAGUUAAAUGACAAAUAAUAAAUAAUCACAAUUAAAUAAUUAAAGAGUAAGAGAGAAAUUGAAUUUNNN